GGAUCCGACGCGGCACGGGCGCCGCACCCGGCUGUAGACCGGGCGCCUUCGGGCACAGGGGGUUCGAGACCCUCCGGAUCCA
This 82-nucleotide transfer RNA is filed under the name Deltaproteobacteria bacterium. RNAcentral's name for it is "tRNA-Tyr". The record is from RNAcentral. Lineage: Bacteria; Pseudomonadati; Myxococcota; Myxococcia.